ACGGGGGAGCAAGCGUUGUUCGGAUUUACUGGGCGUAAAGGGCGCGUAGGCGGCCACCGCAAGUCGACUGUGAAAUCUCUGGGCUUAACCCAGAAAGGUCAGCCGAUACUGCGGGGCUAGAGUGCAGAAGGGGCAACUGGAAUUCUCGGUGUAGCGGUGAAAUGCGUAGAUAUCGAGAGGAACACCUGCGGCGAAGGCGGGUUGCUGGGCUGACACUGACGCUGAGGCGCGAAAGCUAGGGGAGCGAACGGGAUUAGAUACCCCGGUAGUCCUAGCCUUAAACGAUGAAUGCUUGGUGUCUGGGGUUUUAUAGUCCCCGGGUGCCGUCGCUAACGCCUUAAGCAUUCCGCCUGGGGAGUACGUCGCAAGACUG
RNAcentral lists this ribosomal RNA (373 nucleotides) under uncultured organism. RNAcentral's name for it is "bacterial SSU rRNA". It matches the Rfam family "Bacterial small subunit ribosomal RNA", at positions 525 to 896 of the family's 1533-position model. The record is from RNAcentral.